CAUAUAACUAAGCGGAGGAAAAGAAACUAACUAGGAUUCCCUCAGUAAGGGCGACUGAAGCGGGAAGUGCUCACCGUGUGAAUCUGUACACUCUUGUAGUGUACCGAUUUGUGGUCUGUAGAAGCAAUGUUUGUUUCUAACCCGGGCAAAGUCCUUUGGAAAAAGGCAGCAGAGAGGGUGAUACUCCCGUCCUUGCCUGGGAUUAGUAACAUGAACACAUGCCUUCAACGAGUCGAGUUGUUUGGGAUUGCAGCUCAAAGUGGGUGGUAAAUUCCAUCUAAAGCUAAAUAUUGGUGGGAGACCGAUAGCGAACAAGUACCGUGAGGGAAAGAUGAAAAGAACUUUGAAAAGAGAGUUAAAGAGUACCUGAAAUUGCUGAAAGGGAAGCGAAGGAAACCAGUGUUGUGUUGAUUCAUUUUUCUCCUGCUGUUUACAACAGGGGCGCUGUGAGUUGAUAUAGGCCAGCAUGGGCUCAACUCGGAACAAAUGGCUUUGUAGGAGGUAGGUCCUUUUCGGACUGAAGACUGCUUUGUGUUGUUCUGGGUUGGACUGAGGCUAGCAAGUGUGAUGCUGGCGAAAUGGUUUUCUUUACCCCGUCUUGAAACACGGACCAAGGAGUCUAACAUAUGUGCAAGUAUAGGAGUGGCAAACUCCCAUGCGUAAUGAAAGUAACAGUGGUAGGACCUUCUGGGGCACUAUCCGCCGGCCACAAUCCUUCGGGAGAAAGGUCUGAGUGUGAGCAUACAUGUUGGGACCCGAAAGAUGGUGAACUAUGCCUGAAUAGGGUGAAGCCAGGGAAA
RNAcentral lists this ribosomal RNA (800 nucleotides) under Chaetoceros constrictus. RNAcentral describes it as "partial large subunit ribosomal RNA". It matches the Rfam family "Eukaryotic large subunit ribosomal RNA", at positions 39 to 860 of the family's 3401-position model. The record is from RNAcentral. Lineage: Eukaryota; Bacillariophyta; Thalassiosirophyceae; Chaetocerotales; Chaetocerotaceae.